UAGGCCUGAUUACACAGCCGCACGUCCACAUCUGGGCCUUUGGGUACAAAGAUCUCAAAUCGUUUCUCUUCUGCUAUGUGCUGAUAAUGGAAAUCUGGUUCUUUUAUGGGACAGAGAAAAACUGUGUUAUUCUGCAGGGCACUAGAAGAUUUGGAGACGCAGACUUGGGAUCAUAUGACCAAAUGAGAGUAAUAAAACACAUGGAUACAGCUGCGCUGGAAUAAAACAGAUGGCACUGUAGGACUAGUGGUGGUAAAGGUGAAAAAAGAAUCUAAAGUCUCCAUCAGAAAACAAGUCGACCAAACCAACCAAUUUGGGCAGGACUGGCUGACCAUCUGUGUAUAGGAGCCUCCCGACUUUCCCCUGACAGAUGAUUUUGGCGAACAGAAGGAUCGGAUAUGUUGGAUUUUGACUACCUGUUCAUUUUCUUUUUGGAGAGAUAAGUCGGCAACAAAGAAGUCUGGCAGCAGAUAACUCUACAGCAUUCAGAGUCCAUGAAUGGUCAGUCACGGUAUGGUGGGACUGGGAGAGAAAACCGUCAGCCGAAUAAA
Molecule: long non-coding RNA, 551 nt
Organism: Hyla sarda
Lineage: Eukaryota; Metazoa; Chordata; Amphibia; Anura; Hylidae
Exons: 3
Source: RefSeq, a predicted model, not a curated record